RNAcentral lists this ribosomal RNA (649 nucleotides) under Variovorax sp. GV-R2A-24. Its description in RNAcentral is "bacterial SSU rRNA". It matches the Rfam family "Bacterial small subunit ribosomal RNA", at positions 30 to 674 of the family's 1533-position model. The record is from RNAcentral. Lineage: Bacteria; Pseudomonadati; Pseudomonadota; Betaproteobacteria; Burkholderiales; Comamonadaceae.
UGAACGCUGGCGGCAUGCCUUACACAUGCAAGUCGAACGGCAGCACGGGAGCAAUCCUGGUGGCGAGUGGCGAACGGGUGAGUAAUACAUCGGAACGUGCCCAAUCGUGGGGGAUAACGCAGCGAAAGCUGUGCUAAUACCGCAUAAGAUCUACGGAUGAAAGCAGGGGAUCGCAAGACCUUGCGCGAAUGGAGCGGCCGAUGGCAGAUUAGGUAGUUGGUGAGGUAAAGGCUCACCAAGCCUUCGAUCUGUAGCUGGUCUGAGAGGACGACCAGCCACACUGGGACUGAGACACGGCCCAGACUCCUACGGGAGGCAGCAGUGGGGAAAUUUGGACAAUGGGCGAAAGCCUGAUCCAGCCAUGCCGCGUGCAGGAUGAAGGCCUUCGGGUUGUAAACUGCUUUUGUACGGAACGAAAAGUCUCUUUCUAAUAAAGAGGGAUCAUGACGGUACCGUAAGAAUAAGCACCGGCUAACUACGUGCCAGCAGCCGCGGUAAUACGUAGGGUGCAAGCGUUAAUCGGAAUUACUGGGCGUAAAGCGUGCGCAGGCGGUUAUAUAAGACAGUUGUGAAAUCCCCGGGCUCAACCUGGGAACUGCAUCUGUGACUGUAUAGCUAGAGUACGGUAGAGGGGGAUGGAAUUCCGCGU